AACGCACAUUGCGCCCCUUGGUAUUCCAUGGGGCAUGCCUGUUCGAGCGUCAUUUGUACCCUCAAGCUCUGCUUGGUGUUGGGUGUUUGUCCUCUCCUCUGCGUUUGGACUCGCCUUAAAGCAAUUGGCAGCCAGUGUUUUGGUAUUGAAGCGCAGCACAUUUUGCGAUUCUAGCCGAUAAUACUUGCGUCCAUAAGCCUUUUUUAACUUUUGACCUCGGAUCAGGUAGGGAUACCCGCUGAACUUAA
RNAcentral lists this unclassified non-coding RNA (248 nucleotides) under uncultured Pleosporales. RNAcentral describes it as "sequence contains ITS2". Lineage: Eukaryota; Fungi; Ascomycota; Dothideomycetes; Pleosporales. The record is from RNAcentral.